AGCAGCCACUCAUUAAAAGAGUGCGUAAUAGCUCACUGGUCGAGUGACUCUGCGCCGAAAAUUUAACGGGGCUAAAUCGUACACCGAAGCUUGGGAUGUUAGAUGUUAGACAGUAGACAUUAGACAAUAGAUGAGAGAUAGAAGCGUAUGAAAUAUAUCAGGCGCAUAAGAUCCAAUAUCUAAAAUCUAAUAUCUAGCGUCUAACAUCUAACAUGGUAGGAGAGCGUUGAAUGCGGGGUGAAGUCAGAGCGAAAGCGCUGGUGGACUGCAUUGAAGUGAGAAUGCCGGAAUGAGUAGCGAGAUUUAUGUGAGAAUCAUAAAGGCCGAAAGACUAAGGUUUCAGAAGGAAGGUUCGUCCGCUUCUGGUUAGCCGGGAGCUAAGGUGAGGCCGAAAGGCGUAGCCGAUGCACAUACGGUGGAGAUUCCGUAGCCGUCGAAAUAUUUAAGCAAAGGGACACUUAUGAAGGGCAUGACCCGGGCGAUGGUAGCCCCGGGCGUAAGGGACCGAAAAUAAGUAGGGAAGCAUGUUUGGAAUAAGGCGAGAAAAGCUUUGUGGAUAUAUGAGACGUCCGUACCGCAAACCGACACAGGUAGUCAGGAAGAGGAUUCUAAGGCCAACGGGAGAAGGGUAGUUAAGGAACUCGGCAAAUUGACCCCGUAACUUCGGAAUAAGGGGCGGUGCGUAAGCACCCGCAGUGAAUAGGUCCAGGCGACUGUUUAUCAAAAACACAGCUCUCUGCUAAAUCGAAAGAUGACGUAUAGGGGGUGACACCUGCCCGGUGCUGGAAGGUUAAGAGGAGGAGUGCAAGCUCCGAAUUGAAGCCCCAGUAAACGGCGGCCGUAACUAUAACGGUCCUAAGGUAGCGAAAUUCCUUGUCGGGUAAGUUCCGACCCGCACGAAUGGUGUAACGAUCUGGACGCUGUCUCAACUGCCCACCCGGCGAAAUUGUAGUACCGGUGAAGAUGCCGGUUACCCGCGGCAAGACGGAAAGACCCCAUGGAGCUUUACUGUAACUUGAUAUUGGGUCUUGGUAUUCUAUGUACAGGAUAGGCGGGAGACUGAGAAACAUACACGCCAGUGUAUGCGGAGUCACCCUUGGGAUACCGCUCUUAGAGUACUGAGAUUCUAACCUGCGGCCGUGAAUCCGGUCGGGGGACAUUGUCAGGUGGGCAGUUUGACUGGGGCGGUCGCCUCCGAAAAGGUAACGGAGGCGCUCAAAGGUUAGCUCAGCACGGACGGAAACCGUGCCUCUGAGUGUAAACGCAAAAGCUAGCCUAACUGCGAGGGUGACGGCCCGAGCAGUAACGAAAGUUGGAGUUAGUGAUCCGGCGGUAUGUGAAUGGAAAUGCCGUCGCUCAACGGAUAAAAGCUACCCUGGGGAUAACAGGCUGAUCUCCCCCAAGAGUCCACAUCGACGGGGAGGUUUGGCACCUCGAUGUCGGCUCAUCACAUCCUGGGGCUGUAUUCGGUCCCAAGGGUUCGGCUGUUCGCCGAUUAAAGUGGUACGCGAGCUGGGUUCAGAACGUCGCGAGACAGUUCGGUCCCUAUCUGUCGUGGGCGCAGGAUAUUUGAGGAGCUCUGUCCUUAGUACGAGAGGACCGGGAUGGACGUACCUCUGGUGCACCAGUUGUCAUGCCAAUGGCACGGCUGGGCAGCUAUGUACGGAACGGAUAAACGCUGAAAGCAUCUAAGCGUGAAGCCGACUCCAAGAUUAGAUAUCCCAUCGUAUAACGAGUAAGACCCCUUGAAGACUACGAGGUUGAUAGGCUGCGUGUGUAAGUGCCGUGAGGCAUUCAGCUUGGCAGUACUAAUAGGUCGAGGGCUUGACCAC
This 1832-nucleotide ribosomal RNA is filed under the name human gut metagenome. RNAcentral describes it as "bacterial LSU rRNA". It matches the Rfam family "Bacterial large subunit ribosomal RNA", at positions 1111 to 2925 of the family's 2925-position model. The record is from RNAcentral.